Long non-coding RNA from Cynoglossus semilaevis (tongue sole), 1181 nucleotides. RefSeq lists it as uncharacterized. The record is from RefSeq and is a predicted model, not a curated record. The transcript is spliced from 2 exons. Lineage: Eukaryota; Metazoa; Chordata; Actinopteri; Pleuronectiformes; Cynoglossidae.
UAAUGCAAUGAAAUUCUUUGUCUGAAACUGUAAUUUCAAGUCGAUUUUCAAAAGCAGUUUGCAGAUGUGUUCGUAAAAUAAAACAACAAAUGAAACAACCCCCAAAAAAAGUAGAGGUGAAAGAAGAUACUGGAUGAGUUCACAAACAAAGAUGGACAAUUGUGAAGUAUCUUUUUAAACAUUUUGCAUCACAGAACUCAAACAAGAAUGCAGAUCUCCAUAAUGUGCAUUUGAAAAAACCAACCGUUCCUACAGGUUCUUCUACCUUUAGGUUUGAACAUACAGCCAAGGGAUGACAUCAUGUUCGCUGCAGUCGGAUCCCCUUAUCAUCUACUGUACUCAUCGGUUUUCAGUGCACGCAUUACUCAAAUGGCCUGUGACUCGACUGAACCUUGGACCAGAAAUAACUGCACCCUUCUCACACACACGGACAGACACACUUACUGUCACACAACAAAAUCAUUUUAGUGCUGUUUCAGGAAGAAGCUGAAAACCGUAGGAUUUCCUUCAACGAGUUUUGAAAUCAAAACAAUAAGAAUAAUAAAUAACUAGUGCUCAUGUUAAAGGAUGUGAGAGUGACCGUUGACCAAACCAGUAGCAGCGACAGUCAUUUGACUAGUCAAACAUGUUUAGCGCAGUAGCUUGGCACGCGUGUAUCAUAUUCAGUCUUUCAACUCUCAAUCAUUUUUUCGCUGCUUGACUUUUUCCUCCUGGGGCCUUGUUGACUGCUGUGGACCGGACAGGUGGCAUAGCAUGUAGCAGAGCUGGCCAUUUACCAUCCAAUAAAAAUAGCUGCGGUCUCCAUGAUGUCACCGGCACGUCCUCGGUCGUCCUUGUUGUUGUGUCAUCUCAAAGAAGCACUUCAACUCAACACUGGAUCAGGUUUCAUCCCCAGAAGGAGUUCCCACCGGUUUAGUCGCAUCUGCAGAGGUUAAUCUUUUGAGUCAUGAAAAAGUAAAUGAUCAGACUCUUGAAAGACCACUUUGCUCACACCAGCCACCACUAACACUGCCAUCUUCAGCCAGUUGUACUGGCCACAGAAGCCAGAAAGGGUGGACAAACUAAAGCCGGAGUCUGAUCUCACUCCCAUGCCUGGCAUUCUGAAGCCGCAACACCAUGCUGCCGAUGUGGAACCCGAUCACUCAUAAAUCUCCCCUGUUUGACCAUGUGACAUGCCAAAA